UUGAAUUUAGAUAAUGUUAUAUCUAACAAUCGAGAUUUAACUGCACUGACUACACAGCUAUGGAGGAUUUAAUCCAAAAACAUUUUGUUUCUUUGAACUUUUAGAAGUGGUGUGGGGGAAAGAUGUUACCACCUAUUGGGAGCUGGGAGAAAGAGAAGCAUAUAAGAUAAACUUUCAUGAUUCCUGUCUAAACACAAUGAAUCCUCUCUGAUUUUCUGAAAAAACAAACAGGUCAACAAUCAUGCAAUUCGUCCGCAUUUCCUUUCAUUUCAUACAGCAUCGCCAAAUACUUUAAGGAAUAAAAGUAGAUUGAGGAGUGUACAGGACAAAAUUUAAGAUGGACAUACAAUACUUCGAAAAGCAUAUCUCACCACAGUCUGUUCAUAUGUACAAGCAUGGCGAAAAAUAUGUGAAGUUAUUACUAAUGUAUUCAAGCAUCAUCAUAUAUGAAAAUAUGAUACAAGAUUUCAUGUAUUGAAGUGUCUAUGGAAAUCUGAUACAACAGUUCUUGUAUUGAAGUAUCUAUACUCAGUCACAGAUACAACCUUAUUUUUCGCACCAGUCUAUCCAAGGAAACACACAUUCCACUACAAUCAUUCACAUUAUAGACAAGACAGAGAUAAUGAAAUUGAUGCAAAUCAUUACAGAACUGUAAAAUAGAGCUAUAUAUAAUACAAUCAUAAUCCAGUGUUGAAACAUAACUCUCUGUACUA
RNAcentral lists this long non-coding RNA (713 nucleotides) under Trifolium pratense (red clover). RNAcentral's name for it is "long non-coding RNA (TPRA_LNC009450)". Lineage: Eukaryota; Viridiplantae; Streptophyta; Magnoliopsida; Fabales; Fabaceae. The record is from RNAcentral.